Tarenaya hassleriana is the source of this 648-nucleotide long non-coding RNA. RefSeq lists it as uncharacterized. NCBI's taxonomy places the organism in Eukaryota, Viridiplantae, Streptophyta, Magnoliopsida, Brassicales, Cleomaceae. The transcript has 4 exons. The record is from RefSeq and is a predicted model, not a curated record.
CGUUGGCUUGGAUCGUAGCCAUGGAAAAUUCACCAAAGGCAUGAAGGCCAAGAUCCUUAAACCAUGUCGGGCCAUCAACCUGCCCGUGGGCUAUGCUUUUGGGGAUUUUGAUGUGAGAACUUGGACUCUGAAGAUGAAUGAGACGAGGCUUAUAUAAGGGAGUAGAAACCCUAAUAAGUAAGAACGAAUACAAGAUUAGGAGGAAGAGGCCAAAAGGGUAUGGGUCAAAUUACUGGAAAAAGUAAUAGUGGAGUGAGACAACAAAGACAACAGGCUUCCAACUCUUAAACCAGUUCAUCAUCAAGCCGAAUGUUUUGCUUCACUCUAGAGCCUUGAGAGGAGGGAGGAUGAUGAUGUACCUUGAAUGUAGGCAAAAGGAGAGAAGAGGCCAUAAAAUGUAUGUGCGUGUGCGAGUCCCCUACAACAUUAGCUGUCCCAACCAAACAGGUUUGGGUUUUUUUUUUUGGUCAGUCUCUGUCCUUUCUUGGAUCUUACUGUGAGAUAAAGAGGAUGUUUUCUUCAUCCUCCGUUCUAUUUAUUCAUUUAUUUACUAGAAAUGAUUAUCAUAAUGGUGGGUGAGAUUCAGAUUGAAAUAUGGAUGGGUUGAAAUAUGAAAAGCCAAAGGAGGAGAUUUUGGUGUUUUGCCCC